This 551-nucleotide ribosomal RNA is filed under the name Limnonectes magnus (Mindanao fanged frog). RNAcentral describes it as "partial 16S ribosomal RNA". It matches the Rfam family "Bacterial large subunit ribosomal RNA", at positions 1817 to 2597 of the family's 2925-position model. Lineage: Eukaryota; Metazoa; Chordata; Amphibia; Anura; Dicroglossidae. The record is from RNAcentral.
CGCCUCUUGAUAAGACAUAAGAGGUCCAGCCUGCCCAGUGAUAUUCUUAAACGGCCGCGGUACCCUGACCGUGCAAAGGUAGCAUAAUCAUUUGUUCUUUAAAUAAGGACUCGUAUCAACGGCAUCACGAGGGUUAUACUGUCUCCUCUUUCCAAUCAGUGAAACUGACCUCCCCGUGAAGAGGCGGGGAUGAAAAUACAAGACGAGAAGACCCCAUGGAGCUUUAAACCCAAUAACAACUCUUUCUAAAUAAACUUUAAAAACACAGAUGUACUGUUUAUUGGUUUUGGGUUGGGGUGACCACGGAGUAAAAAUUAACCUCCCUGAUGGACAGAUUUCAUCUUUAUCCAAGAGCUACUGCUCAAAGAAUCAAAAAUUUGACAUUACAUGAUCCGGCAACCGAUCAACGAACCAAGUUACCCUGGGGAUAACAGCGCAAUCCAUUUUAAGAGUCCCUAUCGACAAAUGGGUUUACGACCUCGAUGUUGGAUCAGGGUAUCCCAGUGGUGCAGCCGCUACUAAAGGUUUGUUUGUUCAACAAUUAAAACCCU